GGCUGCGAUCAUACCAGCACUAAUGCACCGGAUCCCAUCAGAACUCCGCAGUUAAGCGUGCUUGGGCGAGAGUAGUACUAGGAUAGGUGACCCCCUGGGAAGUCCUCGUGUUGCAACCC
This 119-nucleotide ribosomal RNA is filed under the name Helianthus annuus (common sunflower). Lineage: Eukaryota; Viridiplantae; Streptophyta; Magnoliopsida; Asterales; Asteraceae. The record is from RNAcentral.